GAAGUCAGCCAGACAAUCGCUGCCCGAGCAAUCGGGGGGAGGAAAGUCCGGGCUCCACAGAGCAGGGUGACGGCUAACAGCCGUACGUCGCAAGGCGAGGAAUAGGGCCACAGAGACGAGCGUAUUCAGUUACGGUGAAACGCGGUAACCUCCACCCGGAGCAAUGCCAAAUAGGCGGACGAUGAAGUUGCUCGCCGAGUCCGCGGGUAGGCAGCUUGAGCCUUGGAGCAAUGCAAGGCCUAGAGGAAUGAUUGUCCACGACAGAACCCGGCUUACCGGCUGACUUCUCCU
Molecule: RNase P RNA, 291 nt
Filed under: Chitinivorax tropicus
Lineage: Bacteria; Pseudomonadati; Pseudomonadota; Betaproteobacteria
Description: beta proteobacterium KL-9 Bacterial RNase P class A
Rfam family: Bacterial RNase P class A
About the family: Ribonuclease P (RNase P) is a ubiquitous endoribonuclease, found in archaea, bacteria and eukarya as well as chloroplasts and mitochondria. Its best characterised activity is the generation of mature 5'-ends of tRNAs by cleaving the 5'-leader elements of precursor-tRNAs.
Source: Rfam by way of RNAcentral